Osmerus eperlanus (European smelt) is the source of this 230-nucleotide long non-coding RNA. RefSeq lists it as uncharacterized. The transcript has 3 exons. Lineage: Eukaryota; Metazoa; Chordata; Actinopteri; Osmeriformes; Osmeridae. The record is from RefSeq and is a predicted model, not a curated record.
UUUUGGUUCAAAGGGCACAGUUUAAUAUCAUGUGUCCCCGUGCUCUAGGUUGUAACGUUGGUAGCCCGCUUCGCGCCAGUAAAACCACAUUUUAAGAAGUUGGCUACGUAGUAAUUUCAUGGAGCAUAUUAUGAACACAAGUUGAAACGCCUGUCUAUGCAUAUACGAUUUUUAAAAGAGCCAGGUUCAGUUUGACUUUUGGUUUACAGCAUUGAGGGAUGAGAGGGAGA